UUAUUUAGUGACUGAAACGCAAGUAAUGGUCUCUUAAACCAAUUUAUAGUACCCGCAAAUACUCUAAAUA
This 70-nucleotide transfer RNA is filed under the name Trioza anthrisci. RNAcentral's name for it is "tRNA-Lys". The record is from RNAcentral. Lineage: Eukaryota; Metazoa; Arthropoda; Insecta; Hemiptera; Triozidae.